GUAGGUGAACCUGCGGAAGGAUCAUUAUCGAAUAAACUUGAGCAGGCUGUUGCUGGCUUCUUGGCAUGUGCACGCUUGUCAUCUUUGUUUCUCCCAACUGUGCACAUAUUGUAGACCCUGGAUUUGAGGAUUGCUGUGUAAGCUUUCCUUGCAUUUUUCUCCAGGUCUAUGUCGUUUUCACAAUCUCUGAAUUAUUGUUAGAAUGUUUGUUGGAAAUAUACAUAUAUACAACUUUCAGCAAUGGAUCUCUUGGCUCUC
RNAcentral lists this unclassified non-coding RNA (258 nucleotides) under rhizosphere metagenome. RNAcentral's name for it is "partial ribosomal RNA internal transcribed spacer region". The record is from RNAcentral.